ACGAACGCUGGCGGCGUGCCUAAUACAUGCAAGUUGAGCGCUGAAGGUUGGUACUUGUACCAACUGGAUGAGCAGCGAACGGGUGAGUAACGCGUGGGGAAUCUGCCUUUGAGCGGGGGACAACAUUUGGAAACGAAUGCUAAUACCGCAUAAAAACUUUAAACACAAGUUUUAAGUUUGAAGGAUGCAAUUGCAUCACUCAAAGAUGAUCCCGCGUUGUAUUAGCUAGUUGGUGAGGUAAAGGCUCACCAAGGCGAGGAUACAUAGCCGACCUGAGAGGGUGGUCGGCCGCAUUGGGACUGGGACACGGCCCAAAGUCCUACGGGAGGCAGCAGUAGGGAAUCGUCGGCAAUGGACGAGAGUCUUACCGAGCAACGCCGAGUGAGUGAACAAGGUUUUCGGAUCGUAAAACUCUGUUGGUAGAGAAGAACGUUGGUGAGAGUGGAAAGCGCAUCAAGUGACGGUAACUACACAGAAAGGGACGGCUAACUACGUG
RNAcentral lists this ribosomal RNA (496 nucleotides) under uncultured bacterium. Its description in RNAcentral is "partial 16S ribosomal RNA". It matches the Rfam family "Bacterial small subunit ribosomal RNA", at positions 29 to 507 of the family's 1533-position model. The record is from RNAcentral.